RNAcentral lists this ribosomal RNA (405 nucleotides) under uncultured bacterium. Its description in RNAcentral is "partial 16S ribosomal RNA". It matches the Rfam family "Bacterial small subunit ribosomal RNA", at positions 28 to 526 of the family's 1533-position model. The record is from RNAcentral.
GAUGAACGCUGGCGGCGUGCGUUAUACAUGCAAGUCGAGCGAAGAGGGGACGGGUGAGUAACACGUGGAUAACCUCCUAUAAGACUGGGAUAACUUCGGGCAACCGGAGCUCCACCGGUUACUUAUAGAUGGAUCCGCGCUGCAUUCGCUAGUUGGUAAGUUAACGGCUUACCACGGCAACGAUGACUAGCCGACCGGAGAGGGUGAUCGGCCAAACGGGAACUGAGACACGGUCCAGACUCCUACGGGAGGCAGCAGUAGGGAAUCUUCCGCAAUGGGCGAAAGCCUGACGGAGCAACGCCGCGUGAGUGAUGAAGGUCUUCGGAUCGUAAAACUCUGUUAUGAGGGAAGCGGUACCUAAUCAGAAAGCCACGGCUAACUACGUGCCAGCAGCCGCGGUAAUAC